GAUGAACGCUGCGGCGUGCCUAAUCCCUGCAAGUCGAGCGCACAGACGAGGAGCUUGCUCCUCUGACGUUAGCGGCGGACGGGUGAGUAACACGUGGAUAACCUACCUAUAAGACUGGGAUAACUUCGGGAAACCGGAGCUAAUACCGGAUAAUAUAUUGAACCGCAUGGUUCAAUAGUGAAAGACGGUUUUGCUGUCACUUAUAGAUGGAUCCGCGCCGCAUUAGCUAGUUGGUAAGGUAACGGCUUACCAAGGCAACGAUGCGUAGCCGACCUGAGAGGGUGAUCGGCCACACUGGAACUGAGACACGGUCCAGACUCCUACGGGAGGCAGCAGUAGGGAAUCUUCCGCAAUGGGCGAAAGCCUGACGGAGCAACGCCGCGUGAGUGAUGAAGGUCUUCGGAUCGUAAAACUCUGUUAUUAGGGAAGAACAAAUGUGUAAGUAACUAUGCACGUCUUGACGGUACCUAAUCAGAAAGCCACGGCUAACUACGUG
This 496-nucleotide ribosomal RNA is filed under the name uncultured bacterium. RNAcentral's name for it is "partial 16S ribosomal RNA". It matches the Rfam family "Bacterial small subunit ribosomal RNA", at positions 28 to 507 of the family's 1533-position model. The record is from RNAcentral.